RNAcentral lists this non-coding RNA (28 nucleotides) under Mus musculus (house mouse). The record is from RNAcentral. Lineage: Eukaryota; Metazoa; Chordata; Mammalia; Rodentia; Muridae.
UGUGAGUCGGACCUGGUACUGUGCAGCC